RNAcentral lists this ribosomal RNA (437 nucleotides) under uncultured bacterium. RNAcentral describes it as "bacterial SSU rRNA". It matches the Rfam family "Bacterial small subunit ribosomal RNA", at positions 330 to 784 of the family's 1533-position model. The record is from RNAcentral.
UCCAGACUCCUACGGGAGGCAGCAGUGGGGAAUAUUGCACAAUGGGGGAAACCCUGAUGCAGCGACGCCGCGUGAGUGAAGAAGUAUUUCGGUAUGUAAAGCUCUAUCAGCAGGGAAGAAAAUGACGGUACCUGACUAAGAAGCCCCGGCUAACUACGUGCCAGCAGCCGCGGUAAUACGUAGGGGGCAAGCGUUAUCCGGAUUUACUGGGUGUAAAGGGAGCGUAGACGGCAGAGCAAGUCUGAAGUGAAAGCCCGCGGCCCAGCUGCGGGACUGCUUUGGAAACUGCCCGGGUAGAGUGCUGGAGAGGUAGGCGGACUUCCUGGGGUAGCGGUGAAAUGCGUAGAUAUUAGGAGGAACACCAGUGGGGAAGGCGGCUUACUGGACAGUAAAUGACGUUGAGGCUCGAAAGCGUGGGGAGAAAACAGGAUUAGAUA